RNAcentral lists this ribosomal RNA (254 nucleotides) under uncultured bacterium. RNAcentral describes it as "partial 16S ribosomal RNA". It matches the Rfam family "Bacterial small subunit ribosomal RNA", at positions 524 to 776 of the family's 1533-position model. The record is from RNAcentral.
UACAGAGGUCUCAAGCGUUGUUCGGAUUCAUUGGGCGUAAAGGGUGCGUAGGCGGCGGUGCAAGUCCGAUGUGAAAUACCGGGGCUCAACCCCGGAACGGCUCUCGAAACUGCAGGGCUUGAGUGCGGAAGAGGCAACCGGAAUUCCCAGUGUAGCGGUGAAAUGCGUAGAUAUUGGGAAGAACACCUGAGGCGAAGGCGGGUUGCUGGGCCGACACUGACGCUGAGGCGCGAAAGCCAGGGGAGCGGAACGGG